Long non-coding RNA from Anolis carolinensis (green anole), 5321 nucleotides. NCBI's taxonomy places the organism in Eukaryota, Metazoa, Chordata, Lepidosauria, Squamata, Anolidae. The record is from Ensembl.
AUGAUGAUAGAUGGAUCUACUUUCAACUUUAAGGACUCCAUCACAUGGUAUAUUGCUAGAAAUUGUCCCAGUGCCAAGAAGAGGCCUUCCAGAGGCAGAGGUUCUCGUGGGAAAGGCAGAGGUGCGAGAUCAACAACAACAACACAGACCCAUGCUUUCAUGGCUCCCAACAGUGCUGUUCCAGAGGGAGAACAGGUGGUUCCUCGACUCUGGAGCAACUCAUCACAUGGUGACAGAUCUGAAGAUGCUGAAGAACCUGAAGGAUACGGCAGGUACAACUGUGGCUUUGGCAGAUGGGACUGUAAGAACCGAUCAAUAAGUGUGGGACUGCAUACAUAUCUUGUUUGGGAGNNNNNNNNNNNNNNNNNNNNNNNNNNNNNNNNNNNNNNNNNNNNNNNNNNNNNNNNNNNNNNNNNNNNNNNNNNNNNNNNNNNNNNNNNNNNNNNNNNNNAUUUGGCCAGUUUGCUCAUUCCAGCAAGUCAGAGAACAAAGGGUGCGCCAAAGUGGCACAAAAUGAGGUUUCUGGGGUUCUACAAGGAUAAGCUUAAGUUUCAUAGCAGCCUAGGGAGAGUAAAAUACUCCAAAGUGGCAUAGUUUGACAAAGAUGCAGGUUGAAAUAGACUGUACUUGAACAAGGAGGCUUUGAAUGGGAAUUCCAAAGAAGCAGACAAUGCAGAAGCAGCAGGAAGUUCUGCAAAUGGAGGGAGAAAUGGCAAGAAUGCAGAAAGUGAAAAACAGAUAGUUAAGGAGGAGAAAGACUCAACUCCUGAAAAGGGAAAGGUACAAACACCACAAAAGAGUUAGCAAACCACAAUGCCCAAGGGUUCUGUAAUGAAGGAAAAAGCCAGAAAUGGAGGGGGCUAGUGUGUCUGCAUGCAAUGGACAAGACUCAGGUUUGCCACACUAUACCAUACCCAGACAGUUAGAAAGAAACCCACACCACCACAUCAAGUCACACAAUCAAGAGAUUUGUGAAAGAGUGUUUGAAUGUUAGUGUGUGAAGCAGAAUGUGUGAAACAGGUUAAACAGUGUAACAAUUAUUGAAAAUAAGUGAGGGCAAGAGCACAUGUAGACCAAAGAAGUAGUCAAGUGGUCAACAGAGUGUUGAAGUCAUGAUGAAUGUAAGAUUGUCUGAACGGAGAGUGUGAAAGUUCACAUGUUCAGAUUGUAAAGUUGUCAAAAGUGAUUGGGUGUUUGAAAGCAGAAUGCAGCAUAAGAAUGCAUGAUGGAUUCUGCAGCAGUAGGAGACUCAUGAGUGUUUAAAAAUUGGGUGUGAAAGCUUGCAUGGUCUGCGAUUGAUGAAGACAUGCAGUGCAAUUAUUCAAAAGGUACAAUUCCACUUAAAUAAGCCAGUUGAGAAAGCAGUCAACUGGCACACAUGUUUGGAUAAAGGAUUCAUAAGAAUCAGAGAUUCAAAAGGUUGAGUCAACAAAGGUAGACGUUUAAAAGUUUCAAAGGUUUUGAAAUGAUGUGUUAAACAAUGUGACAUAAUGUUUUGAUGUGAAGAAAUGUGAAAAGUGAUUGUAACAAUAAAGAUACGUUGAAAGAUCUGUAACAAUGUAUGUGCAAGAAGUUGAAAAUGUAUUGUGCAUAAGUAGUCUAUGGAACUCCAGGAGACAAGGAGAAGAGUGAUGUGUUAUUGAGUAGAGAUGUUAACAUAGUUGAAAUGCCAAACGUAGAAGCUUUAAACAACAAGAUAAAAUUUCAGGAGGGGCAUGUUGGAGUUUUGUAUUGUGAAGGUUUGAAAUUUCACUUAUGGUUUAAAGCAAUGUGCAAUGUAAUGCAGCAUUCCAGCAGUGUAAGUGUUAAAUUCAUAGAGUAGAGAGUUAUUGCUAGAGGGAAACAGUGUGCAGUUUCCGGAUAGUAACAGGACAUUCGUCACUGCACUAAAAUGUGGGUGGUGACAGUUGAGAGAUAGUGAGCUUCACUCAUGACCAUCGAUCAUGUUUUUGUUUUUUUUGUUUUGUUUUUUUUGUGUCAGGAGCAACCAGAGUUGCUUUUGGAGUGAGAGAAUUGGCCGUCUGCAAGGACGUUGCCCAGGGGACGCCCGGAUGUUUUGAUGUUUUUACCAUCCUUGUGGGAGGCUUCCUUCAUGUCACCGCAUGGAGCUGGAGCUGAUAGAGGGAGCUCAUCCACACUCUCCCCAGGUGGGAUUCGAACCUGGCAGCUUUCAGGUCAGCAACCCAACCUUCAAGUCACUUAGUCCACUACGCCAUCUGGGGGCUCCAUCGAUCAUGUUGGUAAAUACUGUUACUUCAAUAAAAGAUAAGAACCAUUGGCUUCAACCAACAGCUGAGAAGUGUGGAUUUAUUUUCUGUGCAACUAAGCAGAUUACUAGAUCGCUGGAGAAGAAGGGGAAUUGAGAUGGAAGUUGAAUGUGUCUCAAUUUAACCUUUUCCUACAAUUGAUCUUAUACGUUGAAGUCCUUUUUAUACCAAAGUAGUAUACUACCAAGUAGCAUUAAUAAUAAUUCUUAUCAUCUCACAAGUCCUACCAUUACUCUUCCAUAAAAUCAGCAUUCUGUUUUAUCAGAACAUCCAGGUCUACCUUUAUCACCAUUGUGUUGUCACAGAAUGACAGCUGAAAGUCAUCAAAAGGGUAUCAAAUCCAGUGUCCUGCCAUAGGCUAUGUACACAUCAGUUCCCCAUCCUGAUUUCAGAUCAACAAAGAUAACUAUGUACAACAGACCACAUAGAAAUGCUGUCCCCACCAAAACAACAACCUUUUUCCCUUCUCCUCCCAACCUCACUCCAGUAAAUUAUGCAAGGAGAUAAAGUAAUAUUUUAUCCUAUGCACAAAACUUUUAAAUUGUUAUAUCCAGUGUAUUUUGAGUAAUCAUGAAACAAUUGUAAUAAUUAGUUAUGAAUAAUUUCCUGUCAGGAACUAAUGCAUCAGUCCAAAAGAUUAUCUGCACUUCACUUUGUUUACCAAAAAUACCCCAAUUUUCUGGUACCCAUCUCAGGUAAAUUACUAUUCCAGUUGCUUUAUGUGGUGGGAGAAAGGUGAUCAGCAGUCAAAACAUUUUAAUUGGGCAGUUUUGUGUUACUUUUAUAGAGUCUGUUUUAGUAUAUGCAUUGAAUGAAUUGUUAAUUAUGAUAUUUAUAUUUAUUUUAGAAUAAAUCCUAGGAGAAUGCAGCACAUGCUAUAGUGGCAUCACUGUGGCCUUCACACCCACUUCUCAUGGAAUAUUUUUGAUCCUUUAAAUUGCUUCUCUUUGCAGUAUAAGCUGCCUUUCCUAUCUUGGCCAUUUCUAGAUGGUAUAGUUUAAAAAAAAUCAGUCCAGUUAUUGAUCAGGAUUUAGGAGUUUUAUGGUUCACUAUCUGAAAACUGCCUAGUUGAAAAAAGUGUUCCCGGGGGAGGUAUCCAACAGCUUCUGAGUUAUAUUCUACCACAAAUCUUCAUCUCUUGUUUCCCCAUCUGGGAAUAUGUACAUUCUGCUUUCCCUCAUCAAAAUACAUUGAGUUGCAUGUUUGAAUUAAAGAAUGGAAAUGGGGGAUUAAAGCUACACCCAUUUAUUCGUUCCAGUUGGAGCUGGCCCAUUUAAAUAAAUAAGUCUUGGUAAGUGUCACUGCUCUAGGUGAGACUGAACAUUGGAUUUAGUUGGCCUUUCAUUGAACAUUGAGAAAAAAAAGUGCUCUUCCAACAGGCACCAGCUAAUCCCUCUUCAAUGCCAGGAAUACAGCUUAAUGGUGUAACAUCAGAAAACGUUGACCAUUUCUGCUACCUUGGCAGCUAUCUCUCCACAAAAGUCAACAUUGACACUGAAAUACAACACUGCCUGAGCUCUGCGAGUGCAGCAUUUUUCCGAAUGAAGCAGAGAGUGUUUGAUGAUUGGGAUAUCCGUAGAGAUACCAAGGUGCUCGUUUAUAAAGCCAUUGUCCUCCCAACCCUGCUCUAUGCCUGCAAAACGUGGACAGUCUACAGACGCCACACUCAACUCCUGGAGCGUUUCCAUCAGCGCUGCCUCAGAAAAAUUCUGCAAAUCUCUUGGGAAGACAGGCGAACAAAUGCCAGUAUGUUGGAAGAAGGAAAGACCACCAGCACUGAAGCGAUGCUCCUAUGCCAUCAACUCAGCUGGACUGACCACAUUGUCCGAAUGCCCGAUCACCGUCUCCCAAAGCAGUUAGUCCCAACUCAAGAAGAGAAAAUGGAAUGUUGGUGGACAGGAAAAGAGAUUUAAAUAUGGACUCAAAGCCAACCUUAGAAACUAUGGCAUAGACACUGAGAACUGGAAAGCCCUGGCCCGUGAGCACUCUAAUUGGAGGUCAGCUGUGACCAGCAGUGCUGCAGAGUUCAAAGAGGCAUGAAUGGAGGGCUUAAGGAAGAAACUUGCCAAGAAGAAGGUGCACCAAGCCAACCCUGACCGGGACUGUCUUCCACCUGGAAACCGAUGUCCUCACUGCGGGAGAUCAUGUGGAUCAAGAAUAGGUCUCUUCAGCCACCUGCGGACACACCCCCAAGACACCAGAAAUGGAGGACCAUCAUCCUCGGUCUAUGAGGGAUUGCCUAAGUAAGUAAAUAAGUAAAUCUGAUGCUUUUAUAUCAGUUAGAGAAUACUGAUGUAAUGAAACAGGGAAAAAAUUUCAGCUUUGCUAGAUCUCUAUAUGUGAUUUUAUUUUGUGUUAUUAUCUCUCACCAAUAUGAAAUAGCGGCAGUUCAGAGUUCCACCUUGUUUUGUAUGUUUUACAGCAUCCACUUAAGCCAGCCCUAGGUAAUUUUCAAGUGUAAGCAAACAGAUUUUUGCCGCCCCCCCAAACCAAUCACUGAAAAAUAAAAGCGUUGGAUAAGCAAAAAUGUUGGAUAAUAAGGAGGGAUUAAGGAAAAGCCUAUUAAACAUCAAAUUACAUUAUGAUUUUACAAAUUAAGCACCAAAACAUCAUGUUUUACAACAAAUAAACAGAAAAAGCAGUUCAAUACAUGGUAAUGUUAUGUAGGAAUUACUAUAUUUGUGAAUUUAGCAUCAAACAUUGAACUGGGAUAUAGGGCAGUGUGGACUCAGAUAACCCAGUUCAAAGCAGAUAUUGUGGGUUAUUCUACUUUGAUAUUCUGGGUUAUAUGGCUGUGUGGAAGAGCCCUGAGGGUCCUUCCACACAGCCAUAUAACCCAGAAUAUCAAGGCAGAUAAUCCACAAGUAUGUUUCAGUCUACUUGGAAUACACGAAGCGUGUUUAAGAACCAGUCCAAGAGUCCAGAAGAGCCUUGAUGCUCCAUAUGACCAUCAUCCCACUUUCUUUGCUAGUUAACUUGAACCCAGUAUGCUUUAUUAUGCCAAUUGUUUGCCUUAGAUGAGGCAUGAGGCUAACUUCAUCCCUCCGGGUGUUU